Molecule: transfer RNA, 74 nt
Filed under: Flammeovirgaceae bacterium 311
Lineage: Bacteria; Pseudomonadati; Bacteroidota; Cytophagia; Cytophagales; Flammeovirgaceae
Rfam family: tRNA
About the family: Transfer RNA (tRNA) molecules are approximately 80 nucleotides in length. Their secondary structure includes four short double-helical elements and three loops (D, anti-codon, and T loops).
Source: Rfam by way of RNAcentral
CGCGGGGUAGAGCAGUAGGUAGCUCGCCAGGCUCAUAAUCUGGAGGUCGUGUGGUUCGAGUCCCACCCCCGCUA